Molecule: long non-coding RNA, 298 nt
Organism: Perognathus longimembris pacificus (Pacific pocket mouse)
Lineage: Eukaryota; Metazoa; Chordata; Mammalia; Rodentia; Heteromyidae
Exons: 3
Source: RefSeq, a predicted model, not a curated record
GAUUACAGGUAUGAGCCACCAGUGCGGGGCUCACAUUAACUUCUGAAACAAAUGUAAUCAUAGGUGAGAUUCCAUGCUUCUCUAGGAUAUCUAAGUGGUUACCAAUAGCUGAGAGCCAUUUUCCUAUUUUUUAUGUGGUUUGAUUAUAAUAUUUUUAUGUUUGACUAUUUUGCAGUAAGAAGAGUGGUAAGGACUCCUCUCCUUCACUUUAAGCAGAAUGCUGUAUUUUCCUUCCAAAUUCUUUUCACUGCCUUCGGUGUACUCUCUCAGUGUGUGUGUGUGUGUGUGUGUGUGUGUG